This 292-nucleotide ribosomal RNA is filed under the name uncultured bacterium. Its description in RNAcentral is "partial 16S ribosomal RNA". It matches the Rfam family "Bacterial small subunit ribosomal RNA", at positions 505 to 796 of the family's 1533-position model. The record is from RNAcentral.
GUGCCAGCAGCCGCGGUAAUACGGAGGGUGCAAACGUUGCUCGGAAUCAUUGGGCGUAAAGCGCACGUAGGCGGUCGGCUAUGUCGGAUGUGAAAGCCUCGGGCUUAACCCGAGAAGGGCAUCCGAAACUGGCCGGCUUGAGUACGGAAGAGGGUCUCGGAAUUCCCGGUGUAGAGGUGAAAUUCGUAGAUAUCGGGAGGAACACCAGUGGCGAAGGCGGAGACCUGGGCCGAUACUGACGCUGAGGUGCGAAAGCGUGGGGAGCAAACAGGAUUAGAUACCCUUGUAGUCC